GUCCCCGUAGCUUAUAAUCAAAGCAUGGCACUGAAGAUGCCAAGAUGGUUGAUACACACCCGAGGACA
Molecule: transfer RNA, 68 nt
Filed under: Glareola maldivarum
Lineage: Eukaryota; Metazoa; Chordata; Aves; Charadriiformes; Glareolidae
Description: tRNA-Phe
Rfam family: tRNA
About the family: Transfer RNA (tRNA) molecules are approximately 80 nucleotides in length. Their secondary structure includes four short double-helical elements and three loops (D, anti-codon, and T loops).
Source: RNAcentral